UGAGACUCCACCUCAAAAAAAAGAAAAAAGGAAAACCAAGCAAAAGUCACUGUCAGGGGACCUCCCACCCACCAUACAGGGGAACACUCGGCAGAGCCAGAGGCCUGGGCCCAAGUCCUGCCACCAGCUGGCUGUGAAACUGUGGUACAGCACCUUGUGUCCUGCCACCAGCCGGCUGUGAAACUGGUACAGCACCUUGUCCUCAGGUCCUUGGUUUCCUCACUUGUAAAUUCAUGGUUCUCCAUGGCAUCUCUGGUCUUCAACAUUAUUUUGCAUAGAGUCUCAGAAGCUUUAGUGUGAGCGGAUGAUAUGGGCACGAAGCAAGGCACCCAGAAGUGGGGGCAACUACUCUGCUUUCUAAAAUGCAAGGGAACCGGAAAAUCCAGGAGCCGUGCCAAAUGAGAAGAGGAACAAAUGGAGGAACAUCCCAGUCAAGUGACAUUCCUAGUGACAUUCACCAGAACAGAGUCAAGCUUUGGAUCCCAUGUUCUGUGACUUCCUCUUCACCACGCUUCCUCCACACACGUAGCAGCUCAAGGGUUUCUGAUGAGUGGGGAAAUGACUUACUGCAAAGAACCACUCUUCCCCACGAGACUUCGAGAAGACCCGCUGUCACGGACUGAGUUGUGUCCUCUUAAAAUUCAGAUGUUGGAGUCCAAACCCCCAGUAACUCAGAGUGUGAACGUAUUUGAAGAGGUCUUUAAAGAGGUGAUGAAGGUCUUUGUCUCUGACAAUUUGCCUCUGUGACGUGGAUGGGACUGGAAGUCCAUUUGGAGCCCUGUCUUCUCCACCUAGGGAGAGAGACCCCAUGAGCUCGUCAAGCUCCUUCUGUGACUGAUCAGAGAUCCCACCGUGAGUCCAGCUCCUGGUCCCAUGCUCUGGAUAUAUCGGUCCCUGGCAGCGUGGCUCCAUCUCCGUAGCCUGCUUUUGACAAAAGUGGAUACAUAAAUCUAGGGGCCACCUAGCUAGUUCUAAUAAGACUUUGGAAGUCAAAAGCUAAAGAAGACCAGGGGACCAAGCUGGAAAUCAGGCUCUGCAAUCAGAUUCCAGAGGGAAUGCCAUUCCACCCAAUCACCUAGCCACAACGGUUCCCUUCCUUCAAGAUGCUGCAUGCCUCUUCAGGCGAAUGGAUUACCUUGUAAGAGUGACCUGAAAAAGCGUUAGCCCAGCCACACCGAGGCUUAACUGAGCCAUUUGAUUCUCACUGCCUCUCUCUGUUGCUUCCUCUUGCUUUCAACUACAGGGUCUUUCUGUUUAGGUGGUGAAAAAAAUGAUCGUUAAAAACAAUAAACCUGGGGACCUCUGAUACCAUGAGCCCAGCCAGAGAUCUGUGUCAAGCAAAUCCUUGCAGACAGUUCUGCCAGCCUGCAGAUGGCUGUUUGCCUCUCGUGGAUUUGAUAAGUGCUCAUUUAUGCCCAGAGGCCUCUGGGAGAUAGUGCUCAUGCUGAGCUUACAAACUGAAAACCAUUAUCUGUUCCUUACCUGAGACCCUGGGGAGCAGUCAGCUCACUCCCUGCCGAUGGCCUAAGAUAGGUACUGAUGUUACAGUUGAGGAAUAUCUAGGAGUAACAAACUUAAGUAGCUGGAAUAUGCCAAUUUUGACAAUUUGACAACAUCAUUAUAAACAUUCUGAAGUACUUACAAGUCUUUUUUUUUUUUUUUUUUUUUUUUGGGAGACAGAGUCUUACUUACUCUGUCACAGACUAAAGUGCAGUGGCGUGAUCUCGGCUCACUACAACCUUUGCCUUCUAGAUUCAAGCGAUUUUCCUGCCUCAGCCUCCCGAGUAGCUGAGAUUACAGUCACACACUAAGGUGCCCGGCUAAUUUUUGUAUUUUCAGUGGAGAAGGGGUUUCACCACGUUGGUCAGGCUGGUCUGGAACUCCUGACCUCAGGUGAUCUGCCUGCCUCAGCCUCCCAAAGUGUUGGGAUUACAGGCAUGAGCCACCGUGCCUGGCCAUGCAAUACUUAGAGUCACAGAAGUUUAUGGUUAGAUAAUUCUCACAGAGGUGACCUGGUUCAGCUCUACCAUCAAGGUCAUUGAGACACUGGCACCUUGCCCAAGGUCAUGCCAACCUGGGAUUAGGCGUUUCCUGCCCGAUGCCCUUUCCCCACUUUCCACACCUAUUGUUCAUACUAAUUUAUUGCAGGUCUUAUUUCUACAGCCUCCUUUAAUUGCUUUAUGUUCACGGGACACUGUCUUCAGGAUAAGAUUGCAAGUAUUUUUUUAUAUUACUUCCUCUUGUCCCUGAUACUGUAGGGUUUCAAGCUGAAACCAGUCAAAAAGGACUUCAUGCUGAGUAACUUUUGCCCAGGCAGCAGGGCUGAGGAGCUGGGGACGAAGGAGAGACCCUGGCUGUAUUCUUUCUGAUAGGUGUUACACAUCAGGCUUGAGUUAAUUUGGUCAGGUUCAAUAAUGUGCUGCAGUUACUCUGUAAACACUUAGAAUCGUGGAGUGUCAGGUCUGGAAGGAGAUUUAAAGACAACCUGGUCUUAUGGUUCUCUAACUGUGCUCCAAGGAACCCUAGGGGCUCCUGUGUGUGGGGGUCGGGGUGUGCCUUCUGGUCAGCCUCUAAGAGCAGGUGGGCUGGAGAGCUGAGCUGACUUAGGCCUAAGCACUGGCCCCUUUUCUUGAAAUAUUUUAUUUAAUGGGGCUGUAUCAGAUUUCUUACAAACAAAGGGCUUGGAUGAUAGACCAUGGUCGACAGCUAUGAAUCUAGUCCAGCUCUUUCAUUUUCACUGUGAGCAAAUGAGGCUUGGAAUGAGGGAAGAGGGACUAGACCACUGCGUGCAGAGCUGCACACAUAGCUAGUGACAGGAGCCAGGAUGGAAACUCUUUGCAGAUGCCCCCUCGAUACCUUGCAGAGAUGGCCUGGUCCCUCUAAGAAGCUAUGUUUUUGGCUUGAUGGAGAGAUUGAACUACAGAAACCAACUCUCUAUGGUGGCUGCUCAUCUGGGAAAAGAAAGGGACAAAAUCUACACUUACUGAGUGACUACUGUGUCACAGGCAUGGAAAAUACAUUCACUCAUUCAGAGCAGGUGUGUGGAGCACCUCCUGCAUAGCAGAUGCUGCCCUGCCUGUCAUGGGUACUCUUUAAGCCUCACAAGCCUGCAGGGGAAGCUAUCACGUGCUCCAGAGCUGAAGGCUCUCAGGGUUAUGCAGCUGGCUCAUCAGUGGCAGACCCACAUCUGAACUGACACCCUUUGAACUCCAAAUCUGCUGUGCCACAUCACAUCCUAAUAUGCUU
RNAcentral lists this long non-coding RNA (3246 nucleotides) under Homo sapiens (human). Lineage: Eukaryota; Metazoa; Chordata; Mammalia; Primates; Hominidae. The record is from RNAcentral.